RNAcentral lists this long non-coding RNA (919 nucleotides) under Marmota monax (woodchuck). Lineage: Eukaryota; Metazoa; Chordata; Mammalia; Rodentia; Sciuridae. The record is from RNAcentral.
UCCAGCCCUCCCGCUGGGGCGCCGGGGAGGCGGAGGCCUGGGAAGCCGAGUUUUCCUUGACGUUCGAGAGUUUGAGAGCGAAAGUGCUUUAGGCCCAGGCGGGGGUCGUGGUCCUGGUCCUGGUCCCUCGACACCCUCGCUCCGUCCGCUCUCUCCUCCUCGUCCUUUGCGCGCGCCCUUGGCUCCCUUCCCUUCCCUCUAGUUCUUUUCGGAGACGAAGUGAGACGCGGCUGCUUCCCGUGGACUCGCCUCCCAGCGGAUGGGAGCCUCCACUGUGGCUGCAGAGGCGCGUGCACAGCCUCCUCUCUUCGGCUCUUAUGCAAGUUGGGGCCAGGAUAGGGGAGGGGCGCUCUUCGGAGGGAGAAACCCAGAGAGGCCCGCGCCCCACCGAGGAAGCCCCGCCCCGGUGCCUUCGCUGGGGAGCAGGCGUCUCUCCUCAGUUGGCUUGUCGCCUGCUCCCCCAUCCCAUGGCUCCUCGCCAAAGACUGAAAUCGUGGAGCUGGAGGGCGCACCCCCAGAGUUUCCUCCCUGGGUCAGUUGAGGGAGGAGGGGGCAAUUCUGGUUUAGGGGUCAGACCCCCUGGGAGGCCCCAGCACCGCCCCUGAUGUUCCCUCCCCUGUCCCAAUCCGCAGCUCCGGUCUUGGGUUUCCGCCGCCUACUCCGUGUUCUGAGGCCAGGCCUCCCUGCCUAGCAGCGCCUCUAGUACAUCCCCCAGGCAUCUGGGGUCACAUGAGCUUAGAGGUUAGCACCUCCCUAUCCUCUAACUAGGACCCAAGGCCUUUGGCUUCCUCGGGCUGACUCCAGUCCUUGUCCCUUCUCCCCAUCAGCCGGGUCGGUCGGAGGCGCACUCUGCCCAUAGGGAAAGCGUUUGGGCUGUUUCCUUCCCCCAGGGCACUAAGGGGGACAGGCACUGCAUGCU